AUGGCUAGCUUGAUGCCAUCGCUUGCCAUGGACCUGCCACAAGAAGAAGGAGGCCACGAGGACUCCGCGUUCCUCGGCGUCGUGGGAGAUCCAGACGACUCGGAGUUGGCCUCGUUGGUGGCCGGGGCGCUGAAGACGGUGGACGCGCCGUCCGACGACGACGACGACGAGCUCAGCUGCCCGAUCUGCUUGGAGGAGGACGACGCCGCGGCGUGGAAGGAGACACCGUGCGGGCACCGGUUCCACGGGCGGUGCGUAGAGAGGUGGCUGCAGGAGAAAGAGAGCUGUCCCAUGUGCCGUCGCGAGGUCGUCACGGCGCCCGCCGCCACCGCAGAUUGUACUGCUGCACACCUACAUUUCUUGUGGAUAGCUGCCUUGGGGUUGCAUGUGUUUGGCGAUGUUCCUGUGGACGACAUGGAAACUGAUGAUGAUGAUGAUGCUUAG
RNAcentral lists this ribosomal RNA (444 nucleotides) under Triticum aestivum (bread wheat). RNAcentral describes it as "partial small subunit ribosomal RNA". Lineage: Eukaryota; Viridiplantae; Streptophyta; Magnoliopsida; Poales; Poaceae. The record is from RNAcentral.